Molecule: small RNA, 283 nt
Filed under: Staphylococcus arlettae
Lineage: Bacteria; Bacillati; Bacillota; Bacilli; Caryophanales; Staphylococcaceae
Description: 5' ureB small RNA
Rfam family: 5' ureB small RNA
Source: RNAcentral
GAUUGCUCUGGAUUGAUAAAGUGAACGUGCGUAUCUAUCCCACCGGCCGUAAUGAUUUUUCCUUCAGCAGAAAUAACAUCUGUAGUAGCACCAAUGACGAUAUCGACGUUGCCCAUAAUAUCUGGAUUUCCAGCUUUACCGUAUUUCAUAAUAAAGCCAUUUUUAAUACCAAUAUCAGCUUUGAUUACUUUGUCAUAAUCAAUAAUCACAGCAUUAGUAAUAACUAAGUCUGCUACAUCUUUAUCAUCACGUGUGACAUUAGGGUUUUGAGACAUACCAUCUC